CCGGCGAUGUCCGAAUGGGGAAACCCAGUGCAAUUCGUUGCACUAUCGUUAACUGAAUACAUAGGUUAACGAGGCGAACCGGGGGAACUGAAACAUCUAAGUACCCCGAGGAAAAGAAAUCAACCGAGAUUCCCCCAGUAGCGGCGAGCGAACGGGGAGCAGCCCAGAGUCUGAAUCAGCUUGUGUGUUAGUGGAACGGUCUGGAAAGUCCGACGGUACAGGGUGAUAGUCCCGUACACCAAAAUGCACAGGCUGUGAACUCGAAGAGUAGGGCGGGACACGUGGUAUCCUGUCUGAAUAUGGGGGGACCAUCCUCCAAGGCUAAAUACUCCUGACUGACCGAUAGUGAACCAGUACCGUGAGGGAAAGGCGAAAAGAACCCCGGCGAGGGGAGUGAAAAAGAACCUGAAACCGUGUACGUACAAGCAGUGGGAGCACCUUCGGGUGUGACUGCGUACCUUUUGUAUAAUGGGUCAGCGACUUAUAUUCUGUAGCAAGGUUAACCGUAUAGGGGAGCCGCAGGGAAACCGAGUCUUAACUGGGCGUUAAGUUGCAGGGUAUAGACCCGAAACCCGGUGAUCUAGCCAUGGGCAGGUUGAAGGUUGGGUAACACUAACUGGAGGACCGAACCGACUAAUGUUGAAAAAUUAGCGGAUGACUUGUGGCUGGGGGUGAAAGGCCAAUCAAACCGGGAGAUAGCUGGUUCUCCCCGAAAGCUAUUUAGGUAGCGCCUCGUGAACUCAUCUUCGGGGGUAGAGCACUGUUUCGGCUAGGGGGUCAUCCCGACUUACCAACCCGAUGCAAACUACGAAUACCGAAGAAUGUUAUCACGGGAGACACACGGCGGGUGCUAACGUCCGUCGUGAAGAGGGAAACAACCCAGACCGCCAGCUAAGGUCCCAAAGUCAUGGUUAAGUGGGAAACGAUGUGGGAAGGCACAGACAGCCAGGAUGUUGGCUUAGAAGCAGCCAUCAUUUAAAGAAAGCGUAAUAGCUCACUGGUCGAGUCGGCCUGCGCGGAAGAUGUAACGGGGCUAAACCAUGCACCGAAGCUGCGGCAGCGACACUAUGUGUUGUUGGGUAGGGGAGCGUUCUGUAAGCCUGCGAAGGUGGCCUGUGAGGGUUGCUGGAGGUAUCAGAAGUGCGAAUGCUGACAUAAGUAACGAUAAAGCGGGUGAAAAGCCCGCUCGCCGGAAGACCAAGGGUUCCUGUCCAACGUUAAUCGGGGCAGGGUGAGUCGACCCCUAAGGCGAGGCCGAAAGGCGUAGUCGAUGGGAAACAGGUUAAUAUUCCUGUACUUGGUGUUACUGCGAAGGGGGGACGGAGAAGGCUAUGUUAGCCGGGCGACGGUUGUCCCGGUUUAAGCAUGUAGGCUGAUUAUCCAGGCAAAUCCGGAUAAUCAAGGCUGAGGUGUGAUGACGAGG
Molecule: ribosomal RNA, 1423 nt
Filed under: Klebsiella quasipneumoniae
Lineage: Bacteria; Pseudomonadati; Pseudomonadota; Gammaproteobacteria; Enterobacterales; Enterobacteriaceae
Description: bacterial LSU rRNA
Rfam family: Bacterial large subunit ribosomal RNA
Source: RNAcentral